RNAcentral lists this transfer RNA (77 nucleotides) under Chloroflexi bacterium 44-23. RNAcentral describes it as "tRNA-Arg". It matches the Rfam family "tRNA". From Rfam's summary of the family: Transfer RNA (tRNA) molecules are approximately 80 nucleotides in length. Lineage: Bacteria; Bacillati; Chloroflexota. The record is from RNAcentral.
GCCCCGGUAGCUCAAUUGGACAGAGUACCUGCUUGCGGAGCAGAUGGUUGCAGAUUCGAGUUCUGCCCGGGGCACCU